RNAcentral lists this ribosomal RNA (255 nucleotides) under uncultured bacterium. Its description in RNAcentral is "partial 16S ribosomal RNA". It matches the Rfam family "Bacterial small subunit ribosomal RNA", at positions 57 to 305 of the family's 1533-position model. The record is from RNAcentral.
GCAAGUCGAGGGGUAACAGGAUUUAGUUUACUAGAUUGCUGACGACCGGCGCACGGGUGCGUAACGCGUAUGCAACCUACCUUUAACAGAGGGAUAGCCCGAAGAAAUUCGGAUUAAUACCUCAUAACACUGCGAAUUGGCAUCAAUUUGCAUUUAAAACUCCGGUGGUUAAAGAUGGGCAUGCGUGACAUUAGUUUGUUGGUGAGGUAACGGCUCACCAAGACUACGAUGUCUAGGGGUUCUGAGAGGAUGAUC